UCCUUACUCUGACUGUACAAUCUAUACGGCAGUAAGGAAUAUGGUCAGAAUCCAUAACAGCUCACUCUACUGUAUGCCGAUACAUAUCUUUAUUACGCCACUGUAAGCAGAUUUACUAUAUAUUCAGUAUAUAAUGGUAUUCCCUCAAUAUAUAGCUAUAUUCUGUACAUGGGAAGGCAAAGAUAUGGCAGGUUUGUUAACCGUAAGCGGCAAGUCAGGAUAUUUACUGCACAAUAAUAUUACAC
RNAcentral lists this non-coding RNA (245 nucleotides) under Eubacterium sp. The record is from RNAcentral. Lineage: Bacteria; Bacillati; Bacillota; Clostridia; Eubacteriales; Eubacteriaceae.